This is a long non-coding RNA of Bombus pascuorum, 8426 nucleotides long. RefSeq lists it as uncharacterized. Lineage: Eukaryota; Metazoa; Arthropoda; Insecta; Hymenoptera; Apidae. The transcript is spliced from 4 exons. The record is from RefSeq and is a predicted model, not a curated record.
UCUUCGGUCAGAUAGACUCUUCCGUCUUCGAGGCGAUAAAGUUACACUUGUAUCUCGUAUCGUUCCUUCCAUUUAUGAAAAUAAUCUAAGUUAAUUUUGAGGAAUUCUGUUCGAUAUUCUUCGUUCUUCGAGUGGCGACGUUGGUUUUUAGUAAUUUUGCGGGUAUAAAAUGAAAUUCGACGAGAGAGUUCAAAAGAAACGGGUUGUCUCUCGAUACGAAGGGUCGUGCCCCUUUAAGGUUGCUUAGUUUGCACGUUUCGUUAAACGAAUGGAAAAGUACGCGCGACAACGAUAGAGAACCUAUUUCUAAUCCUAACGACAGUUCUGGCUAAUUCCAUAUCUCAAUCAACGUGACGACGGGUGAAACAAUGGAGAAACUACUUCAAAUUUUUAAAAAUGUUCCAUCAAAGUCGUACCACGAUCAGUAUGACAGUGACAGAAGCUUGCUUCAAAUCCUAAAAAAAGUAUUAGUCAAUGUCACGCCUUGAUUACUAUGAUCACGACAGAAAAUUAAUUUAGGAACCUAACGAGACUAUUAAUCAAUGUCAUUCGUUCAUUAGAGCGAGAAUAACGCGUAACAAUAAUAGAAAUGUUACUUCAAAUCCUAAAAAUUAUAAAAUAUUAACCAGAGUAAAUUCUUAAUAGAAAGCAUUGCAUUCGUUUUUUCUUUCACGAUGGAAUUUCUUGAAAGUAAUUUCCAUCGGAAGCCAUCGAUCGUAACGCCGUAACUGAAAUUCGUGUCGACGGCAGCUUUAUUAUUGGUUACAAUUAUUUGCACGUAACGCGCGUGCAACGACGCUCAUAUUCCGUGUUUCAUCGUCUCCGUGCCAUUGAAUUUAUCGCUACCGUUAUACACCUUUCGACUGGAUCCCCGCCUCUCGUCGUGUCCGUUUGAGUUAAAGCGCCGCUCGAACCGAGUACAAGCGAAGACUACGCCGAACACUCUCCUCGCUCUCUUCGGGCUCGACACGAGCCGCUGCAUUUUCAGAACGGUACUCCUAACUGUAUCUUACAUACGUAUACAUGUACAUGUGUAUAUACGUCUGUUUCUACUCACCUGUCGGCAUCGCGACCAAGCACCCGCGCAUACCGAUCGGAGAACAAGGGAAAACGACCGCGUCGAUGACCCUAGACGAGAUGACGAAUUCUUUGAGUAGAACUUAUCCAUCGGUUCCCAUGGAAUUCGAGGGAACCGAGCGAAUCUUUAAUUCACACGUCUUCAUACGUUGUAUAGAUAUUGGAACACGAUUCUUAACAUCUGGAUCAUUGACAACUAAGGUGUAAAGUUUGUAUAAAAAAAAUUAAAAUUGAAGAUUUACGAAGCAGAUAAAGUUUUAUCCAUGUUUUUCUAUAAAAGUAUUAUUCAAAACUUCAAAGCUUGCAUCGUUAUAAAUAUGCGAAGUUUCCAUGAAAAAUGAUAAACUAUACUCUGGUAGAUCUAGUACUAAAAUCAUAUGUUAUGACGUCAUGAAUUUGAUAAUGUUCUUGAAAAUCAUCUUAUCUUUUUUGCAUAUGCGAUUCAACGAUUGGAACCUCAUUGUUGGAGAAAUUUGAUGAAUUACAAGUUACAAGCUAGCAGUGAAUCCUUUGUGCGACCAAGAUUUUCUCAUUACGUCGACCCGGUACUAAUUUAUUCGUACACGAUGGGCAAUCACGGAGGAAACGGUUAGUCAUCGUUCAACGAUCCUUCGUUGAAUGAGACGCGACGAGUCAGCUUUGAAGCAAGAAUCCCGCUUCAAUGAGCUACACGAAGCGAAACACGGACCAGAGAGAAGCGUCGAAGGAGUGGAGAGAAAAAGAACGAAAAAAAGAAGAAGAGAGAGGACAUACGAUGAAAGGGGGAGAAGUUCUCGGCUGGCUCGAGUCAAACAACGUGUAGCGGAUCUUCUACGCGGGUACACACGUAAGUACGUACGUGCGGAUCGCGUGUAGGGAUACUCACGUAAUGUAGGCCCGUUGCCGGAGAUACCGUAAGACCUUGCUGUUACGUCACUAGAAGCCGCAUGAUUAGGAGAAAAAGGAUACCGGCGAGAAGGGAGAGAAGGAAACGGAAAUUCUGUCCUCGGGAUGCGCACGCCGAGUGCCGCCUGUUCUUGGAAAUUCGUUGGUGCAAUGUUUCCUUAACCCUUAAAUAGUUCUUUUUUCCUUUUUUUUUUUUUAAUUUUUCGUUGGCUUUUAACCUGUUAACAAGUAAGACAAGUUACUGGGAAUAUAAAUUUUUCCGAAUUGUACUCUAUAUUCAAAGACUCUCCAUGUUUUUUAUUUAUUGUUUUAUUUGUAUAUUUUGAACUCCUUAAUUAUGAAGUAGAAUAUUGUUAAAUUAAUUAUAGAAUUAUAGAUCAGCCGUAUUUCAUUUGUAAACAGUUUCUCCACGUUUCUAAAUGUUAAAGUGGUUAAUAACGGAAAUGUAAUAAAUCGUUUACUUGAAAAAUUACAAUUUAUGAUUGUUAAAUGGAUUGAGAAUGGAAGAAUGAAGUAAUAACUUUGAAUAGUUUCUUUUAGUAAUUUUGAAAUAAAUGCGAGAUUCUCUGUUUUUCGAGAUGCAGUUUUCCAGAUUUGUUGAGUUUUUCAGGUUUGAAAAAUAAUCCUAUAAUGCCAAACUAAGUGGAAUCGGAGUCUUUUAAUGGCUGCAAAAUAGUCUCAAUUAACAGAAUUACAACAGAACGGUGGUUCCAGGCAGUUUGGGAGGUAGCAUGCGGGAAUCGAAAGUGAUUAUGCAGCUGUUCCACGCUGAAAUGUUUCUAAAAUAAGAUACGUAUGUAUGAAGUUAUAAUUACGUGCCUGUAGAAGUUGUUUAUAAAUUUUGAUGUGCGAAAUGGGCUAAACGAUCUUCAGUUGAUCUCUUCGGUCAAACAAAUCUAGCCGUCCUAAGCGAGACAAUAUGUCACUCUUAUACGAACUCUCAUACUUGCAAACUUUAAUUUUAUUCUCAUUUUUUGUAAUUCUGUACUAUUUUUAACAAACAUCCUUUUAUCUGAUACAUUCUAUGCGUUGAUAUUGUGAAAUAUUUACUUUAUCAUAUCGCUAUUUAUCGAUGUAAAUAAAUAGAAUUUUCACAUUUUCACGAUGUAACGGAAAGUUGAUGAAAACAUCUCCAAAAGAAGUUUCAUUUCUUUCGACGAAACUGGCAAACGAUGCGUCACGUGUUCGCCGGAGAUUUCGUAAGAGCCGACGUUUAUUUCGUCACGUAAGUACUUACGAUGACUGCUGAGGCUUCACGUGAAAUCAUCAGCCCUUCGAAACUCCCCUCCCUCGUUUUCCUUCUCUUCCACGGAACCACCGUCACCGACACGGUCUGCGUCCACGUGUUUCUAUCUGCGGUCAGUGCACCUUGCUGCACGAACCACGGCCAUUUACCGAAGGUCCACGUAACGCGACCGUGCUUAAUAAUCUUUUCUUCCAAGGAUCGUCAACCUUGCCGAUGGAGAUGAAGAAAACGAUAGGGAAUAGGCGGGAUCAAGAGGUUGAUACUCAAAGUCCAUGGACCUUCUUCAGGGUGUCUAUCCAUCUGACAGAGUGAUUAAUCAAACUAAGUUUUCUUCCACGAGCGUUAGAGCGUGUUACAUAAUUUCCUAUUAAUUUGAUAAUUACAAGCUACCUCGCUUCCGAAAUAUGUAGCUCCAUUAGAUAAUUUCAGAGAAUAUAAUUAACCCCUUAAUGCUCGAAUUUCUUCUCUUUGCUUUUUCGUUUUUUUCUUUCUACUCUACCGGUAGGGAAUGAUUAACUAUUUUAUUGCAGAAAACCAUUUAUAUGAAGAACAGGUGUGAUAUAUGUAUCUAAUUAGAAGUUCAUAAAUACAUGAAUCAAACAAUAUUUUUCGAAACGAUGGACGAUAUUGCGUAUGCCUUUUAAGAAGCUGAUUUUUAUUUAGUUUGAAUUUGUCUAAUUUUUAUUUAAAAAUCGUUAGAUUGUAACAUUACUAAGGUGAAGUUCGAUGAGAUGCAAUUUUCGAUAUGUAUCUCACGUAUCCCAACGAAACGUAAGCUCAAAUCUAAAAAAUGCUUACGCACGAAAUAAGCGAUAUAAAAUAAACGUCUGCAACAAUGCAAUUGGAGACAGGAGGAUGUACGUGAGCAUGGAUCGUUCAUCAUCCAUCCGGUUUGAUAUCGCGCCGAUGCAAAUGUUCAUUGGAUUUUCGUGUCGAUGACACGUGUUAAUGGAACGUUUAGCUUGGUACACAAUACGGAAGUACAAAGUGCAGAUGAAGUCGCUGAACUUGCACCUCCUCCUUCGUCAUUCUUAUAAAAGAAACGCUGACCUUUCGUCUUUAAAAAUAUUACCUCAUAUUCCUGGAGUCGUGUUUAUAUUUUCCGCGAAAAAAUUCUGGAUCUAUUUUAUUUCGAGAAAGGCCAUUGAACUCUAAGAAAACAUACUCCACUUGAAUUUAAAUUACGUUAGAUUAUAGCAUAUGACGUAUUGUAUUUUGCAUCCAUCUUCUAAAACUCCUAUUUUUAUCGGCGAAUAUUUGUAUCUUUGUAGGUACAUCACUAAUGAUUCAUCGCAUAUCAUUUGAAUAUUGAGAAUUUUCUUUUUCAUAUACAAUGGAUACAAAAAGUAUUUGCCAGUAUCCUUCUUUUUUGUCAGAUUCUACACACUUCAUUUUCAUAGUAUCAAAUUUUGGUAAUGUGAAAUGAAAAUACUAAAUAAUACCUAGAAUUAACGUGCUUGAACCUAAUUAAUAUGUAAACGCUAUAAUAAAUGAUGCGGGAAUGUUUUUUGUAACCACUGUAGAAUUUAACUUAUAAAAGUUAGCAUAAAUUCUUAUGAAGCAUAAACCGUCAAAAAUUGGACAUUUCACGUAUAACCUAAUAAUAAAAUAGCAGUCUAUAUUUUCAUUAACCUAUUUUUCGCAUCUAUAGGGAAAUACAAGAAUUCUGUAACUUGAAGUCCAAUGACAGACAACCUACUUAUGUCAUCACCCUCUUAACCCAGUCCCCUUUUUUCACGCCUACCCUGUCUAUCCUAAACGCAACAAUUCCAUUCUUACGUGUACUACUACGUCGUUCGCAAGUCGAGCGUGUCGAUCAGUCUUGUCUACUCGCAGGUAAGCACGAAUACCGGCAAGACCAGGAAGAACGUGGAUGGUAAAUAAGACGAAGGGAAAAGGUGGAGGCCCUAGGAAGACUCAAAGGUUCACGGCCGGGUGGUUGCUUUAAAUCAGGCAGGUAAGGUGGUUUGACGGGGAAGAGACAUCACUCGCCACGUGGUGGCUCAAGGGUCAUUGUCCUGCGGUCGAGCUUCGUCGAGGUGAAUCGGCUUGAGAACCGGGUACUUGUUCAAAAGUUCCCGCUCCUUUCGGCGCUCUUUCAAUGCUAGACUUCAGUCCGUGGACACUCGCUUUUGUUCGUUUACAUUGCCAUUUAUAAACGUAUUUCAUGAAACGCAGCCGGUUUCGAUGGACAAAGCGCAGAUUCAACUCUUGUCUUUCUGUUUCACGUUACUGAGGAAGUUACUUACCGAUACCGAAGACAUCCAUUUUAAUCUCGAAUAUAUCGAUUUGUUGUUAACUAACAUAUGACUCUUUCAUUCGCGGAAGAAAUCGUAUAUGCACCUCUAUGGUAAGAUACAUACAAUCAUUCACGAAAGUUUUCGUACACCAUAUAAAUGAUGUGUAUAUGAAACAUUUAUUUACUGUUACAUGAGUAACAGUAAUAUUUUCCCUAGCAAAAUAUGUUGAACAUAUAAGGAGAAAAGAUUGUAUCUUUCUAGCCUUAUUAUUCCAAGUUGUACAUUAUAUUGCCCUUAAAGUAGCUCUUAAUUAAUCUUCUUACAUAUACAGAAUACAGUAAAGUUGAAAAAAAGUUUGAUAUUUUACAAACACCUUUUGUAACUGACUGUUCAUAUAUAUAUAGUCAUUUUUUCUCUCAAUAAUGUAAAUAACGUUGAUAACGUAAUUUUUCCAGAGAGUCUGCGCAGUAAAAUGAAGCAAGAACCUACACACUAUCUUUGAGGAAUCCCCAUUUCAACGAAUAUCUGUCACGUUUAUGAUAUGGAAUUAAAAGAAAAAUCUACGAAGCACUUUCUUCUCACUGAACCGUGAGAUAAGCUAAUCGUAACCGCUUCCAAAUUCUAACGAAGAGUUAACUCUUGCUUUCGUAGCGGGAAUUCCAAGAACUAUACGCCAAAUUCCUAUCCAAUUACGGCUGGCAUUAUCGGCAAGCUACGGAUAGUGGAACAACGCGCGUAGAAAAAGCCAACGUGACUGUAAAUUUUUUACUAACGUGAGAGAUAGAGAGGGCAGCGGGCUGUGAGUUUCGGCCCUGGCGAGGACGAACAAGCCGAACGAGCGAGCGAACGAGCGUGUAGCACCUGCGGUCGACGACCCUUGCGGUGCUAUCGAAUACCUGCCGACACGAAGCGACGAUCCGCUCGUUUGCUCGCUCGCGAUCGCCUCACUCUUUUGGUGGCCCGUUCAAUACUUCGCUCGUGAAGUCGAUUAAAUCGGAGAAAAAAAGCAUACAUACAUAUUGAAGUUCGCGAAACGAUCGUGCAGAUCGAUUGAAGACCACACGGGAUAAACGCGAUAAGUUCGUUUUUGUCUACUUCCUGAUUUUUAUGUUACUUUGUCGUUGCAACGAAGCAUUUCAGUACAAUAUACUUGAAAGGCGGAACCGACUUGUUACGUAACACUGGAAUAUAUAUGUAAAAUUUAUAUAUUAAUAAUAUAUAUUCACUUUAUAUAUUAACAAUAUAUAUAUAUUUUGUAACACUGGAAUUAUCGAAUCAGCUACAAUUAAUGGAAAAAUGCAGUUAUUGGAAAGAUGCUUUGAUAAAAUUAGUUCUGCCAUUUAUUCAAAUAGGAACAUAAUUAGGAAGGCACAAAUCCACAACGUGUUGCAGUAGAGCUAUUAUAUGAUUAAUACUUAUAUUAUGACAAUCGAAUGUUUUAAACAUCUUUUUGAAAUAUUCAAGAAGUUGAAGAAACUUGGCAGUAGUUCAUCUCAAAAACUAAUUACAAGACGGGAUUAGUUAUAGUAUCCUGUUCAGUUUUAAAAUUGUUCUCCUAUAAAACACAGAAAGCUCGAUUUAUCUCAUAUUUCUCUGCCGUGGUUUUAAAUCUUAAUCGAAUAGUAGGGUACAACGUAUAAUUUGCUUCAACGAACUGUUAUGGCAUGACUCAUUGCAUAAAAUGAUAAAAAUGACAAAGAAAUUUUUCGAGGCAACUCGACUUUUAUCAAAAUAGACAUAUUAUAAUACAUUUCCAUCUAUCAAGAUUAUCAAAGACAGUGUACUUAAUGUGUAAUUAAAAUCUUUGAAGUACUUGUAUAAUUAUUCUGAAAGAGGAAAAACAUAUGCGCGUUGUUAUUAAUGAAAUGUGAUUAUUUCAGCAAAAAAUGGAGUAAUUUAUUUUAACCAACUGGACUAGUUCAGAUAUGUUGAUUAAAGGUUUGCGAUGGUUUGGAACACACCGAGGAAUCUUGUGAGUUAACGCGUAAGCAGAUCCGGUGAAAUCGGACUUGUUCUCGAUUACCUGCGUUACCUCGUUGAUGCGCAAUUAAGUUGCAUCAAUUUUGAAUUAGAAAACGUUCCAGCGUCUGCUGAUUCCUGUUCAAGCGAUAUUUCAAAGACACACACAUGCGUGCUUUUACAGGAAAAGAGGAACGACAGUGGAAAAAUGAGAUUUUUUCAUCACCUACGAACCUCGUGGUGUGAAAUUCAAGGAUGCAGAAUCUGCGUGAAAGAUGAAGAUUUAAACAGGUAUUUGAUGAAACUUUUUAAAACUGUCGAGAGUUUUCAACGCGCUUGGCAAGCUGACACGAGUGGACUUGAAUUUACGAACAAGUCCUGGCCAAGAUUUUCGCGCCGCCUGGAAAAUUGUCAAUCCCAUCUUCCGGCAUUCUGAUUGCAAAUCAUAUUUGCAUCGAAGAAAAUCUUACUUCAUCGUCUUGCCAAUAAUUUUGUUACGGAAUGUUUACCCUAGGACGGCAAAUAAAUUCUGGAAACUUCACUCGACUGUGUUGCCAACAUACACGUAUACAGUGUAUACAUACGGUUCGGUUCAACGAACUCCCACACGAUCUUCUCUCCUCGGAGAGAUUCGAGAAGUUGAAUUAAUACCAAACGAAAACCUUGAAAACGCGUCGACUCGUCGUAAGUGAGCUACGAUCAAGAUUAAAUGCAUAUAAUAGUGUGUCCCGCAUAGUUAAAACCGGGAUGAUUUAAAGCCAUAGAGGAAGAGGCUAGAACGGAAGAGUUCUCUAAACUGCCAACGGCAGAAAGCAACGGAUGACUUAUUUCACAGUUAAAAUAGUUAAACAAGCCAGGGAUAAUUUAGGCGACAAUUGUAUUUGUUCGUAGUAACGAGUUUCGUAAGAAUAAUCCUUAGCAUUUUACGUAGCGAUCUUACAUGAUGAUCUCAGUCCUUCAACUAGUCGACGGCCAUCACAUGUUUAGAUCGUUGAACCUGUGUUAGACCUUUCCCUUGC